This 1021-nucleotide ribosomal RNA is filed under the name uncultured bacterium. Its description in RNAcentral is "bacterial SSU rRNA". It matches the Rfam family "Bacterial small subunit ribosomal RNA", at positions 356 to 1375 of the family's 1533-position model. The record is from RNAcentral.
AGGGAAUUUUCGGCAAUGGGGGAAACCCUGACCGAGCAACGCCGCGUGAAGGAAGAAGUAAUUCGUUAUGUAAACUUCUGUCAUAGAGGAAGAACGGUGGAUAUAGGGAAUGAUAUCCAAGUGACGGUACUCUAUAAGAAAGCCACGGCUAACUACGUGCCAGCAGCCGCGGUAAAACGUAGGGUGCAAGCGUUGUCCGGAAUUACUGGGUGUAAAGGGAGCGCAGGCGGGAAGACAAGUUGGAAGUGAAAACCAUGGGCUCAACCCAUGAAUUGCUUUCAAAACUGUUUUUCUUGAGUAGUGCAGAGGUAGAUGGAAUUCCCGGUGUAGCGGUGGAAUGCGUAGAUAUCGGGAGGAACACCAGUGGCGAAGGCGGUCUACUGGGCACCAACUGACGCUGAGGCUCGAAAGCAUGGGUAGCAAACAGGAUUAGAUACCCUGGUAGUCCAUGCCGUAAACGAUGAUUACUAGGUGUUGGGGGAUUGACCCCCUCAGUGCCGCAGUUAACACAAUAAGUAAUCCACCUGGGGAGUACGACCGCAAGGUUGAAACUCAAAGGAAUUGACGGGGGCCCGCACAAGCAGUGGAGUAUGUGGUUUAAUUCGAAGCAACGCGAAGAACCUUACCAGGUCUUGACAUCCGAUGCAUAGCACAGAGAUGUGUGAAAUCCUUCGGGACAUCGAGACAGGUGGUGCAUGGUUGUCGUCAGCUCGUGUCGUGAGAUGUUGGGUUAAGUCCCGCAACGAGCGCAACCCUUAUUGCCAGUUACUACGUUAAGAGGACUCUGGCGAGACUGCCGUUGACAAAACGGAGGAAGGUGGGGAUGACGUCAAAUCAUCAUGCCCUUUAUGACCUGGGCUACACACGUACUACAAUGGCGUUAAACAAAGAGAAGCAAGACCGCGAGGUGGAGCAAAACUCAAAAACAACGUCUCAGUUCAGAUUGCAGGCUGCAACUCGCCUGCAUGAAGUCGGAAUUGCUAGUAAUCGCGGAUCAGCAUGCCGCGGUGAAUACGUUCCC